CCCGGCGGCGCUCGCUGCAGCGGCGGUGCCCCUGCGGGGAGGGAGCCGUCCGUCCGCCGCGGCGCCUGGGGCCGUGUUACGGGCGGGGGCAACGCCGGGGCCCGCAGCUGCGCCCCCCGUUCAGAGCAGUGUUUGAUCGGCGCCGCGGGGGGAGAGGACGGCCUUCCCGCCCUGAAACGCCGGCGGGAAGCGGGCAUGGCCCCCCGCCUGGGAGAGGAGGCGUGCGAGCAACUGGCAGGAGCAGCGCGGAGGUCUCCAUCCCGSCGAGCUGAGCCGUCGAGAAGGCGCUUUCAUCCCAGGCAGGCUGCGAGGCGUCUGCGGGGCUCGUCGGAAUGAGCGAGUGACCGUCGGCGCCCGGCUCGGCGUUCCCGUCACCGGCCCCGCGGCCCGCGCUCGGCCGAGCCCAGCCGGAGGAGCAGGGAGGAGAAGCACAGCCUGAUCAGGUACCGAGCGCCACGAGCCGUCUGCUGCCGGGCGGACGUGGGGAACGCGCGUAGCUGUGAAAACAGAGCUCUGUUCCUUGAAAACCCUA
This 532-nucleotide long non-coding RNA is filed under the name Dromaius novaehollandiae (emu). RNAcentral's name for it is "lncRNA (ENSDNVG00000013383.1)". Lineage: Eukaryota; Metazoa; Chordata; Aves; Casuariiformes; Dromaiidae. The record is from RNAcentral.